RNAcentral lists this transfer RNA (58 nucleotides) under Neotoma lepida (desert woodrat). It matches the Rfam family "tRNA", at positions 8 to 63 of the family's 71-position model. Rfam says of the family: Transfer RNA (tRNA) molecules are approximately 80 nucleotides in length. Lineage: Eukaryota; Metazoa; Chordata; Mammalia; Rodentia; Cricetidae. The record is from Rfam by way of RNAcentral.
UAGCUCAAUUGAUAGAGUGCCUGCCUAGCACGCAGGAAGCUCUGGGUUUGAUCCCCGG